Non-coding RNA from Sus scrofa (pig), 3485 nucleotides. Lineage: Eukaryota; Metazoa; Chordata; Mammalia; Artiodactyla; Suidae. The record is from RefSeq and is a predicted model, not a curated record.
UGUAUAUGCAUGUGUGUGUAUAUAUAUAUAUGGUUGUGUGUUUGUUUUUAUAUAAAUAUAUUUAUUGAAGCAGAUAUUGAAGCAGUAAAAGGUAUAGAUAUAAACUUUCCCCUCUAGUUCUGUUCAUUGACAGGGACUAGAAGCAACCACAUCCUGUACAAUAAGCACACCUAACACCAGAUCUUGGUUUCUAAAUUCCAUUCUGCACAGAAGUACAUGGGGCACCUUAUAAAAAUGGCUGAUUCCUGGGUUGGGGCAUGGAAAGUAGAAAAUUGAGCCUGGAACAUCCUUCUGUGAUAGAGAGUACAGCAAGUCUCAAAUAACAAGGAGGACAUGUCAAAAGGAUACAGGAGCCAGCUUAAAGGGGCUGCCACUGGCCAUAUCUGGAACAAUUGGAACAUUAAAAUAAAUAAUAACAGCGAAAGAUUAUGAUCAGUUCAAUAAAAUGAGAACAAUAACAAGUAAUAGUAUAUAACUUAUAUAAUUACAUAUAAAUAUAUAAAUAAUAAAAUAAUAAGAAAGGCAGUUCAAGCCUCCUACUCUCCCACCUUGAACCCACCUUGAACUUGGGCAAGUAAUUCUACUUCCCUAAACUUUAAUUUCUUCCCCUAUAAAAUGGUGCCUAAAAUUGUGGUUUAAGGGUUAAAUGAGACAACAGGUAAGAGAAGAGCUUUGGAAACAAAGUAUCUAAGCAGGCGUUAUACGUUAUACGUUAUACGUUAUUCCUAGGACUUGUUUGCAAGAACAGUUUACAGCAGCACCUAAGAAUACUACAUUAAGAGUGAGUUGCUGCUAGACUACUUCACCGUAAUCCUGGUGAGCGAGAAGCCUUACGGUGCGUGCUGCGUGCGUGUGCGUGCUCACCGGCGAGCGGGCGGGUGAGGUGGAGGUGGGAAUGGAAUCGUCAGGCUCAAAAUGCAGCGAUAAUAUUGAAGAACCGUGAAGCAAAGGUGGUGGCUCUGAAAGCUAAGAGUUAAGAGCAAAUGAACACGCAACUGGGAGAGAGUGAACAGCAGGGCCUUUGAGAUCUGGCUGUGUGUGAUGUCAAUGCUCCCAUACCACUGCCACAUCUCCAAAGUUCCCAUGGGGUGAUAGGUCGUCUUGAAUUUGCUAAUUCUGAUGACAGCCAAGGAAGUUAGUUUAAAGUUCUUGGGUACUUUUGUGGGGUGUGUCUUCUCUGCUCUUCCCAGUUCACCGGUUUCUACACUUCUGAGUGAUAGGCAUGUCUCCAGCUCUAAGCAUGGGGUGGGUAAUGUUUUUCAGCCAGAGCAUCUAGAGCCCCCACGGCAAGAGGGUGGAGAAUGAAAGUAUGGAUAGGGCCACCACAGAACCAGUAACGCCCAGAAAAAACCAUUCAUCUUUGAUGGUUGCAUAUAAAACUCCCUACUAAAGGAUCAGUAGGUAGGUUUGAGAAGCUGGAAAUUUUACUUCAUCAGUCCCUGGCACCAUAUAUGGAAGUACUUUAAGACUUAGACUUUAAAUGACAGUGAUCCUAUGGAUAUCUUUACCACUCUUUAAUACUGCUCACCCCCUGAAGCCCCUUAGGAAGAGGGGGUUCAGUUCAUAAAAUCCUGGUAGCACCCAGCAAAUGUGGGGGCCUUGGCUUUCUGAGCUUGAAGCUCUCUUUGGUUCAGUCAUUGCAGGCUCCUGCUUAAGUGUAAUUCUCAAAAAGUUAGAAGACUUGACUCCACAAAAGACAUAAAAUGAAUAUAUGUCAAAGAUCUGAUUCAAUUCAUUAGUUAAUAGGAGAGAAAUAAGAUAUUAAAAGUAAUCCAAAGGGCAUUUGAGAAAUGGGAGUGUGUGUGUGUGUGUGUGUGUGUGUGUGUGUUUGUGUACAUAGUAAAGAAAUAUUAAGAUAAGAUUUCUGGAUACAAAACUGCCUUAUAAACUAUAACUUAAAAAUUAUCUUUUCCACAGAACACAAAUUGUUCAUAUUUAACCUCAAAAAAUCUGUAAGUUAAUACGGACCUAUAAUUCAUAAUAAACACUAACUGCAAUUAAAUAGUCCAUUUCUCUAAUCUUUGGGUGGUCUGGCCCCUGUGUGGCAUAGAAAGGAUAGGCUGCCCACCUUUCCCCUCAUCUCCAAGUUUUAGAUAAUUUUGGUGAUAUUCCCUGAGAGAAGGAGCCAUGCAGCAGUGCUGAGAGUCAUGGCGGAAUGGUGUUCUGAUGGUCCGUCUUCCAGCCAGGGAGUUGCCACGGCUUCACCCAAGAUGUCAGCACCACUUACCAAGCUUCCCCAAUGAACAGAGUGCAAAACAGCUGAAGAAGGAUCCUCAUUACUCAAAAGAUACGUUGACACACCUCUGGGCUUUGAGCCUGUGAGAAGGGCCCAGCUCUCUGCCACUUAAAGUAGCAACAUGGUUGAUGACAUUCUUCUUUGGCCCGCUCCCUGUGAGAGAACACAAACCACUCCAAGAUGAGCUGGAAUGCAGCCUUCAUCAUAGGACGAUGAUCUUUUCCAACUGUAUUCAAGUCUGGAGUUCUUCGGGUAAAAAUUAAUCUUCCUGUGGACUCCAGAGGGCCCAUGGGAUUUUCCUUUUGGAUUAGUUGGAUGGUAGCAAGAGGUGUCCUUUGAUCUUUAAGAACAGCUGCAAAAAGGAAAAAAGAAAGAAGAAAAAGUCAAGAUUGGCCACACUUAGGACUUUGGUGGAAUUACAGGAGAAGAGACCAAGGUGACUUUUCAAUCAGCUCAUCCUUUAAGGGAAGGCUCUGCAAAUGUUCAUCGAGAAAGACCAGUGGAACUGAGAAGACCCUCAACAUGGACAGAAAAUGGAACUGCCCAACCAGAGGGAAAGGAGAUCCUAUCAAAGAAAAAGGAGGUAAAUAAAUUAAAAUUCCCAGGUAAUGUGUACUAAUGUCACAUUUUUUGUAGUGAUUAACUUUAUACUUAAGUAAGUUUGGGACAAUCGUGUAAAAAGAAUGACAACUAUUUGGUGGGGGAAAAAAAAAAAGGACUAUGAGUCUAUGUUCAAUAUCGCAAACAUUCUAGUGCUGAAGAGGUGUCACUGUAUCAAAAUGAUGGGUUUGGUUGAUUCUACUGAAAUGAAAUACUGACCACUAUAAGUUUUUACCUAUGAGACAUGGCUAGCAGUGAAGGGAAAAGGUGAUUGGCCAAAAUGAACACAAAUAGACACAUCAAGGGAUGACUACAUUUGGUCAGGACUUUUGAAGCUUAGAGUCAGUCUCCGGUCUAACUUUUAAUAUAUGCUUUUAUCAGUUCUGAGCUCUGUCUAGUAAAAUUUUUACUUGAAAGAAUUGGUCAAUAGUUUGAAUACUUUAAAGAGAAGAAAUCAUCAGAUAAGAUGGGGUUGGGAUGCUGCUUAGACAUAAUACCAUCCCUUCUAUGCUCAGCUAAAGUGUUGGUCUUAACCCCAGUAAGUAGGGUGCUUGAGAGAGUAUAUCAGUCGAGCUGCAAAGCGAAGGUAAUAUCUGAGAAUUUUCUGUUAUUGACUGAAUUUUUCUCUUUUGUUUAGGCCAGAGCUGGC